GACGAACCGAGCGAACGUUGUUCGGAAUCACUGGGCUUAAAGGGCGCGUAGGCGGGUGCUCAAGUCCGGGGUGAAAUCCCACAGCUCAACUGUGGAAUUGCCUCGGAUACUGGGCGUCUCGAGGGUGGCAGGGGUAUGCGGAACUAUCGGUGGAGCGGUGAAAUGCGUUGAUAUCGAUAGGAACUCCGGUGGCGAAGGCGGCAUACUGGUCCACUUCUGACGCUGAGGCGCGAAAGCCAGGGGAGCAAACGGG
Molecule: ribosomal RNA, 253 nt
Filed under: uncultured bacterium
Lineage: Bacteria
Description: partial 16S ribosomal RNA
Rfam family: Bacterial small subunit ribosomal RNA
Source: RNAcentral